GAGCUCCGUGGCGUGCGGGAGUUCCCUUCCCGCGAAAUCGUAGCUCUUUCGAGCGAGGACGUGCUGAAACACUACGCAGAGGCGGGCAUUGGGCAAGCACUCAGAAGCAUUUCGUUUGCCUUGAUCCUGGAGGCGCGCGGCCGUCUCCCGCUGCCGAGGAUUUGACGCGAACUCGUAAGUGACAUUCUAUUUCCUCGGUGUAUCGUAUGGUGACUUUUGUCUAGCGACAAAAUCAAAUUUUAUUUGCGCAAUUGAUGCGUCAAUCUGGUCGUCUCUUCUAGCGGGCAGAUCAGAAAUGUUCAGGCGAACGGUGGUUAUAUUUGUCCGUGGACCCAAGACAUCGUUGACGGGCAAAUAUGUAAGAUUUUCUUGUUUUUUAUUUGUGGCAUCUUAUUGUAAGACCGUAACCUAUUUUGCCGUUUUCUCUAAGGAACACUGCAACAAGGACUGGUGUGGAUAGCGUGCUGCGCUGGUCUCGCCAACUGAAAAGAAUUCUGUGACAUUACGAGCCAACAAGGAAAACCUCAAUCCAUCCUGUCUCCACAUAUUAUCAAGUUUGUGCACUGUGGAGCUUGAAGCACUUCUCAGAAUUUCAGCACACUCGCAUUUAUUUCUUUUCCGACAGAAGAACAAUGCAAGUCUCACAUCUUGAUGAGGGUGGCGAUUUACCCUCUCACAUCUCGACGGUAAAACGUCGCAUCUGCGUACGUGUUCAGGGCCAAGAGCACGAGAACUGGCCGAAAGAAGGGAGCCGAUCCAACAAGAAUGCCGUCCGUUUUAUAUAUAUGUCAGCGCUAUCAUGCAGCGAUCACAUGGACUGUACGGUUGCGUUGCACAAGGGCUGAUGCAAACGCUCCGUGCGAACAAUGUUGCAUGUAAAAUUAGUGCAUCUAUAC
Molecule: long non-coding RNA, 896 nt
Organism: Rhipicephalus sanguineus (brown dog tick)
Lineage: Eukaryota; Metazoa; Arthropoda; Arachnida; Ixodida; Ixodidae
Exons: 3
Source: RefSeq, a predicted model, not a curated record